This is a long non-coding RNA of Spinacia oleracea (spinach), 281 nucleotides long. RefSeq lists it as uncharacterized. The transcript is spliced from 3 exons. The record is from RefSeq and is a predicted model, not a curated record. NCBI's taxonomy places the organism in Eukaryota, Viridiplantae, Streptophyta, Magnoliopsida, Caryophyllales, Amaranthaceae.
UUAAGUUUUCAAUUUGUUCUAAUAUUGUAGCUUUGUAUUUGACUCUGGCAUUCUAUUUAAUUAUCACAAAAUCGCAAACAAUCAAGUUGUCUUGAGCAGCCUUCUAAUAGAUAUACUUUCAUUAUCCAAGAUAGUUGUAUGUGGCAGCCUCUAUCUCUCAUCUGCUUAAAUUUUUGGCUAAAAGAAGAAAACUACAAAAUAUUUUCUUAAGAAAGCAAGGGGCCUUGAAGAUUUGCAGUUUGAUAUACAGCAGCGAGCACUUAAGCUCACUGCAAACAGGU